Molecule: ribosomal RNA, 251 nt
Filed under: uncultured Rhizophagus
Lineage: Eukaryota; Fungi; Glomeromycota; Glomeromycetes; Glomerales; Glomeraceae
Description: partial 18S ribosomal RNA
Source: RNAcentral
CCCAACUAUCCCUAUUAAUCAUUACGUCAAUCCUAGAAACCAACAAAAUAGGAUCGAACGUCCUAUUUCAUUAUUCCAUGCUAAUGUAUUCAAGCGUUAGCCUGCUUUAAACACUCUAAUUUUUUCAAAGUAACAGUCCAGUCUCCCCGCAACACCAAAUUAAUGGCAUUACGGUUCAUCAGGAAGGAGGAAUCAGUAAGAUCAGUACAUACCAUUGGCAUGACCAACCUACUGACCCCGAAAUUCAACUA